AAAUGAAUUGACGGGGGCCCGCACAAGCGGCGGAGCAUGUUGCUUAAUUCGACGCAACGCGAAGAACCUUACCAAGGUUUGACAUCACCGGUAAUCCUGCAGAGAUGUGGGGUCCUUCGGGGAUCGGUGACAGGUGGUGCAUGGCUGUCGUCAGCUCGUGUCGUGAGAUGUUGGGUUAAGUCCCGCAACGAGCGCAACCCUUGUUCCAUGUUGCCAGCACGUGAUGGUGGGGACUCAUGGGAGACUGCCGGGGUCAACUCGGAGGAAGGUGGGGAUGACGUCAAGUCAUCAUGCCCUUUAUGUCUUGGGCUGCAAACAUGCUACAAUGGCCGGUACAGUGGGCGUGCGAUGCCGUGAGGCGGAGCGAAUCCCUAAAAGCCGGUCUCAGUUCGGAUUGGGGUCUGCAACUCGACCCCAUGAAGGUGGAGUCGCUAGUAAUCGCGGAUCAGCAAUGCCGCGGUGAAUACGUUCCCGGGCCUUGUACACACCGCCCGU
Molecule: ribosomal RNA, 495 nt
Filed under: uncultured bacterium
Lineage: Bacteria
Description: bacterial SSU rRNA
Rfam family: Bacterial small subunit ribosomal RNA
Source: RNAcentral